GAUGAACGCUAGCUACAGGCUUAACACAUGCAAGUCGCGGGGCAGCAUGGGGGUUGCUUGCAACCCCUGAUGGCGACCGGCGCACGGGUGAGUAACGCGUAUCCAACCUGCCCUUCACCACGGGAUAACCCGGCGAAAGUCGGACUAAUACCGUAUGUUGUCCAUUGACGGCAUCCGAUUUGGACGAAAUGCUUGGCGGUGAAAGGAUGGGGAUGCGUCCGAUUAGCUUGACGGCGGGGUAACGGCCCACCGUGGCUACGAUCGGUAGGGGUUCUGAGAGGAAGGUCCCCCACACUGGAACUGAGACACGGUCCAGACUCCUACGGGAGGCAGCAGUGAGGAAUAUUGGUCAAUGGGCGUAAGCCUGAACCAGCCAAGUAGCGUGCAGGAUGACGGCCCUAUGGGUUGUAAACUGCUUUUAUGCGGGGAUAAAGUGGCCCACGUGUGGGCUUUUGCAGGUACCGCAUGAAUAAGGACCGGCUAAUUCCGUG
This 491-nucleotide ribosomal RNA is filed under the name uncultured bacterium. Its description in RNAcentral is "partial 16S ribosomal RNA". It matches the Rfam family "Bacterial small subunit ribosomal RNA", at positions 28 to 507 of the family's 1533-position model. The record is from RNAcentral.